CAGAAUGUCGCGGUGAAUACGUUCCCGGGUCUUGUACACACCGCCCGUCACACCAUGGGAGUUGGAAAUGCCCGAAGUCAGUGACCUAACCCGUAAGGGAGGGAGCUGCCGAAGGCAGGUCUGAUAACUGGGGUGAAGUCGUAACAAGGUAGC
This 153-nucleotide ribosomal RNA is filed under the name uncultured bacterium. RNAcentral's name for it is "partial 16S ribosomal RNA". It matches the Rfam family "Bacterial small subunit ribosomal RNA", at positions 1350 to 1500 of the family's 1533-position model. The record is from RNAcentral.